This 420-nucleotide long non-coding RNA is filed under the name Arabidopsis thaliana (thale cress). RNAcentral describes it as "long non-coding RNA (ATHA_LNC000500)". Lineage: Eukaryota; Viridiplantae; Streptophyta; Magnoliopsida; Brassicales; Brassicaceae. The record is from RNAcentral.
CCAGUAAGAGCAAGCGAGGAUUAGAAGAGCAAAAGCUAUGAGACCAAGCAUCGCUGCUAAACCACCAAAGAGAUAAGGAACCGGUGAAUGCCACGGUGAGUGAGGUCCUCCUCCCAUGGUGGUUCUGUUUCCUUCAACGUUUUCUCUCGGAGGGUAAUAUUGUCUUCCUUCCAUUUUUUUUUCACAAAGAUGGUUUUGAGUUUUGAGUUUUUUUUUUUUUUAGGAAAAUGUUUUGGUGUGAGGAGGAAGAUGAGUGAGGAAGGGUUUUAUAGAAGAGAAGAAGCGAAUUAACGUUGUGGAUUGUGUGUGACGUAUCAAUUUUUAAUUUUAUUAUUUUGCGUAUGAGAUUCUUUUUACUUCUGAUUUAUGGAAAUUUUUCUUAUUUAUUUAUGUAUUUGUAUGUAAUGAGUGAGUUGGAGA